Nycticebus coucang (slow loris) is the source of this 107-nucleotide small nuclear RNA. Lineage: Eukaryota; Metazoa; Chordata; Mammalia; Primates; Lorisidae. The record is from RefSeq and is a predicted model, not a curated record.
GUGCUGGCUUGGGCAGCACAUCCACUAAAACCAGAAUGAUACAGAGAAGAUUAGCAUGGCCCCUGCACAAGGAUGACAUGCAAAUUCGUGAAACGUUCCUUAUUUUU